CUUUGACAUUGACACUGAUGUGGCGCUUAUGCUACCGGUUCAUCGUAAACCUUUGACGUUUCAGAGUCUAUAUUGUCCUGAUUUGUUGCUGGUUGUGUUUCUGCAUGCCUAUCACCGUUGGUACUGUUAGUAGGCAUUUUGGUGAAAAAAUUGUCUAAAGUUUGCCCUUUCGGCUGGUCACGCUUUGAACUGCUCAUGUUUACGCUGCUUUUUUACUUUGAGUACCAGAAAAAAAAUUCUCACAAAUAAAUUAAAAAGUAUUUCGGUCAGGGUUGAUAUAUACGGAAAUAUUAUUGUGAC
Molecule: long non-coding RNA, 300 nt
Filed under: Mytilus galloprovincialis (Mediterranean mussel)
Lineage: Eukaryota; Metazoa; Mollusca; Bivalvia; Mytilida; Mytilidae
Source: RNAcentral